GAGGGGUAUAGGUUUUCGGACCUAGAGACCGGCGCACGGGUGCGUAACGCGUAUGCAAUCUACCUUUUACAGAGGGAUAGCCCAGAGAAAUUUGGAUUAAUACCUCAUAGUAUUAUUGAAUGGCAUCAUUUAAUAAUUAAAGUCACAACGGUAAAAGAUGAGCAUGCGUCCCAUUAGCUUGUUGGUAAGGUAACGGCUUACCAAGGCAACGAUGGGUAGGGGUCCUGAGAGGGAGAUCCCCCACACUGGUACUGAGACACGGACCAGACUCCUACGGGAGGCAGCAGUGAGGAAUAUUGGUCAAUGGGCGCAAGCCUGAACCAGCCAUGCCGCGUGCAGGAUGAAGCAUCUAUGGUGUGUAAACUGCUUUUGUACGAGAAGAAACACUCCUUCGUGAAGGAGCUUGACGGUAUCGUAAGAAUAAGGACCGGCUAACUCCGUGCCAGCAGCCGCGGUAAUACGGAGGGUCCAAGCGUUAUCCGGAAUCAUUGGGUUUAAGGGUCCGUAGGCGGUUUUAUAAGUCAGUGGUGAAAGCCCAUCGCUCAACGGUGGAACGGCCAUUGAUACUGCAAGACUUGAAUUAUUAGGAAGUAACUAGAAUAUGUAGUGUAGCGGUGAAAUGCUUAGAGAUUACAUGGAAUACCAAUUGCGAAGGCAGGUUACUACUAAUGGAUUGACGCUGAUGGACGAAAGCGUGGGUAGCGAACAGGAUUAGAUACCCUGGUAGUC
RNAcentral lists this ribosomal RNA (729 nucleotides) under uncultured bacterium. RNAcentral's name for it is "bacterial SSU rRNA". It matches the Rfam family "Bacterial small subunit ribosomal RNA", at positions 64 to 795 of the family's 1533-position model. The record is from RNAcentral.